This 492-nucleotide ribosomal RNA is filed under the name uncultured bacterium. Its description in RNAcentral is "partial 16S ribosomal RNA". It matches the Rfam family "Bacterial small subunit ribosomal RNA", at positions 29 to 507 of the family's 1533-position model. The record is from RNAcentral.
AGUGAACGCUGGCGGUAGGCCUAACACAUGCAAGUCGAACGGCAGCACAGUAAGAGCUUGCUCUUCCGGGUGGCGAGUGGCGGACGGGUGAGGAAUACAUCGGAAUCUACUUUUUCGUGGGGGAUAACGUAGGGAAACUUACGCUAAUACCGCAUCCGACCUACGGUUGAAAGCAGGGGAUCUUCGGACCUUGCGCGAUUGAAUGAGCCGCUGUGGGAUUAGCUAGUUGGGGGGGUAAAGGCCCACCAAGGCGACGAUCCGUAGCUGGUCUGAGAGGAUGAUCAGCCACACUGGAACUGAGACACGGUCCAGACGCCUACGGGAGGCAGCAGUGGGGAAUAUUGGACAAUGGGCGCAAGCCUGAUCCAGCCAUACCGCGUGGGUGAAGAAGGCCUUCGGGUUGUAAAGCCCUUUUGUUGGGAAAGAAAAGCAGCAGGUUAAUACCCCGCUGUUCUGACGGUACCCAAAGAAUAAGCACCGGCUAACUUCGUG